GACAAGGAGAAGAGAGAUCGGGAGAGUCGACGUUCUGAGAGGGAAAAGAGUGUUGAUUCUGAAGAGCAGCAGUACGAGAGGGAGAAGGAAAAACUUAAAAGGGAUAAGGAUAAAACACGGAGUCGGGAUGAUGAAAGAGAUAGAGCAAGGGAUAGGAGGAAGGAUAGAGACAAGGAAAGGGACAGGGACAAAGAAGAUAGGGCGAGGGAGAAAACCAGGGACAAGGAGAAGGAGAGAGAGAAGGAG
Molecule: unclassified non-coding RNA, 246 nt
Filed under: Hevea brasiliensis (rubber tree)
Lineage: Eukaryota; Viridiplantae; Streptophyta; Magnoliopsida; Malpighiales; Euphorbiaceae
Source: RNAcentral